This 253-nucleotide ribosomal RNA is filed under the name uncultured bacterium. RNAcentral's name for it is "partial 16S ribosomal RNA". It matches the Rfam family "Bacterial small subunit ribosomal RNA", at positions 524 to 776 of the family's 1533-position model. The record is from RNAcentral.
UACAGCGGGGGCAAGCGUUCUUCGGAAUUAUUGGGCGUAAAGGGCGCGUAGGCGGCUUGGCAAGUGGAAGGUGAAAUCCCUCGGCUUAACCGAGGAACUGCCCUCCAAACUGCUUCGCUUGAGACCGGGAGAGGUGAGUGGAAUUCCCAGUGUAGCGGUGAAAUGCGUAGAUAUUGGGAGGAACACCAGUGGCGAAGGCGGCUCACUGGACCGGUACUGACGCUGAUGCGCGAAAGCGUGGGGAGCAAACGGG